Long non-coding RNA from Odocoileus virginianus texanus, 1076 nucleotides. RefSeq lists it as uncharacterized. The record is from RefSeq and is a predicted model, not a curated record. Lineage: Eukaryota; Metazoa; Chordata; Mammalia; Artiodactyla; Cervidae.
CAGCUCAGCCCCCUCAACCGACGCCUGGGUCCCAGGGUGAAGGACUGCCAUGAAAGAACCCAGUAAGAACUAGAGGAGGGUACAUUAGAAUGCAGCAGUAAGCGGGAAAGGCGGGCAGGGGCAGCCCCUCUCUUUCGGGCAUCCUGCUCCCAGGAUGGACGCAUGGGCUGAACCCCCUCCAAGAAGACAUCAACUGACAAGACACGGAGGAGAGGGCCCUGGAUUGCAGACAGCCGUGCGGGCUGUACUUUCAGAACAGCAGGCCUCACCUCAGACUAGAUUAACUGAUGUGGAACAGCUGGGAUCUACUGAGCAACACAGCCAAAAGCCUUUCCACAGGGCCUUCCCUGAUGGUCCAGCGGCUACAAAUCUGCCUUACAGUGCAGAGGACGCAGGUUCGAACCCUAGUCAGGGAACUAAGACCCCCACCUGCCCCAGGGCAAGUAAGCCCAUAAAGCACAGCUAGAGAAGCCUCUGGACCACAGCUGGAGAAAGCCCGUGGGCCACAACGGAGACCCAGCACAGCAAAAAAAAAAAAGACGGCCUUUCCACAAACCGAACCAGUUAGUCAAAGCCUAAGGCAGCUCUCCUCAUCCCUAUGGCUGUCUGUCUCCUGUGACUCCCAAACCACUCAUAACAAUCCUGUGAUUCCCGGGCCUCCGGCUUCCCAGACACUGGCAGCCCCCGUGCCUCCGGACCUCCCGCACAAUUUGUUGGUGAUUUGAAGGAGCAGCUUCCUGUCUAAUUCAAGAAUCUGGGCUCCACGGUUUAUGCUAGAGUCUGCAGUUUCUUCAUCACCCGAGUCAAAAGUUUAUACUGCAGCAGAAAUGACUUGACAGUUUUUCCUAAACUUUUCUGGGUAUUCUAUUUAAAACCUGGCAUCAAUAAGAAACAAUGUCAAACAGCACAUCUUGUGCUAGGACUCAGGCUGGAAGCAGGCAUUGCCUCUAAAUGAAGGUGCAGCCGAAGUCAGGCCCUCUGAUUUAGGAAAAGAAAAUAAGAAGAAGUGAAAAAAUAGAAAUGUUAAUUCCUUAUAUUGCAUUUUUGGUGUUUAAUAAAAUUCCUAUGAGUUCCUA